ACCCGCGUCUACCCGGUUCCGUGUACUGGAAAU
RNAcentral lists this microRNA (33 nucleotides) under Culex quinquefasciatus (southern house mosquito). RNAcentral describes it as "cqu-miR-2951-3p". The record is from miRBase by way of RNAcentral. Lineage: Eukaryota; Metazoa; Arthropoda; Insecta; Diptera; Culicidae.